GCCCCUGUGGUGGAAUGGUAGACGCGGCAGACUCAAAAUCUGUUGCCCGCAAGGGCGUGCUGGUUCAAGUCCGGCCAGGGGCACCA
RNAcentral lists this transfer RNA (86 nucleotides) under Parvibaculum sp. RNAcentral's name for it is "tRNA-Leu". It matches the Rfam family "tRNA". Rfam says of the family: Transfer RNA (tRNA) molecules are approximately 80 nucleotides in length. Their secondary structure includes four short double-helical elements and three loops (D, anti-codon, and T loops). Lineage: Bacteria; Pseudomonadati; Pseudomonadota; Alphaproteobacteria; Hyphomicrobiales; Parvibaculaceae. RNAcentral also lists the same sequence under 1 other name. The record is from RNAcentral.